RNAcentral lists this ribosomal RNA (484 nucleotides) under uncultured bacterium. RNAcentral describes it as "partial 16S ribosomal RNA". It matches the Rfam family "Bacterial small subunit ribosomal RNA", at positions 30 to 507 of the family's 1533-position model. The record is from RNAcentral.
AUUGAACGCUGGCGGCAGGCCUAACACAUGCGAGUCGAGCGGAUGAAGGGAGCUUGCUCCUGGAUUCCGCGGCGGACGGGUGAGUAAUGCCUAGGAAUCUGCCUGGUAGUGGGGGAUAACGUCCGGAAACGGGCGCUAAUACCGCAUACGACCUGAGGGAGAAAGUGGGGGAUCUUCGGACCUCACGCUAUCAGAUGAGCCUAGGUCGGAUUAGCUAGUUGGUGGGGUAAAGGCCUACCAAGGCGACGAUCCGUAACUGGUCUGAGAGGAUGAUCAGUCACACUGGAACUGAGACACGGUCCAGACUCCUACGGGAGGCAGCAGUGGGGAAUAUUGGACAAUGGGCGAAAGCCUGAUCCAGCCAUGCCGCGUGUGUGAAGAAGGUCUUCGGAUUGUAAAGCACUUUAAGUUGGGAGGAAGGGCAGUAAGUUAAUACCUUGCUGUUUUGACGGUACCAACAGAAUAAGCACCGGCUAACUUCGUG